This 200-nucleotide unclassified non-coding RNA is filed under the name soil metagenome. RNAcentral's name for it is "partial contains internal transcribed spacer 2 and large subunit ribosomal RNA". The record is from RNAcentral.
CAAAAGGAUUAGCUGGACUUGUCUAAAGACCUGGUUCGACUUGGUGUGAUAAGUAUUUCGCUGAGGACAUCCCUCCCUCAUGGGGUGACCAGACCUUGCAGGACUUCUAUGUCUGCUCUCUAACACUGAUGGUGCUCUCUGGGCCCCAACCACUUUUAUGAUCUGGCCUCAAAUCAGGUAGGACUACCCGCUGAACUUAA